CCCUCACAGCUAUUAUAUACUUGAUCUUGAUAUCCUACGGUGGAUAACUGUGGUAAUUCUAGAGCUAAUACAUGCACCAAAGCUCCGAAUCUUUGACGAGCGCAUCUAUUAGAUUAAAACCAAUCGGGUUUCGGCCCGUUUGUUGGUGACUCUGAAUAACUAUAGCUGAUCGCAUGGUCUAGAACCGGCGACGUGUCUAUCAAGUGUCUGCCUUAUCAACUGUCGAUGGUAGUUUAUGUGCCUACCAUGGUUGUAACGGGUAACGGAGAAUAAGGGUUCGACUCCGGAGAGGGAGCCUGAGAAACGGCUACCACAUCCAAGGAAGGCAGCAGGCGCGCAAAUUACCCACUCUCGGCAUGAGGAGGUAGUGACGAAAAAUAACGGGACCGUACUCUUUGAGGCCGGUUAUCGGAAUGGGUACAAUUUAAACCCGUUAACGAGGAUCUAUGAGAGGGCAAGUCUGGUGCCAGCAGCCGCGGUAAUUCCAGCUCUCAAAGUGUAUAUCGUCAUUGCUGCGGUUAAAAAGCUCGUAGUUGGAUCUGCGCCUCAGGACCUGGUCCGCCCACUUGGCGAGAACUGGGCUCCUGGGCUAGUUCUGCUGGUUUUCCCUGCGUUGCCUUCAUCGGUAGCGUAGGGUGGCUAGCGAGUUUACUUUGAAAAAAUUAGAGUGCUUCACGCGGGCUUAUGUCUGAAUACUCGUGCAUGGAAUAAUAGAAUAGGAUCUCGGCUCUAUUUUGUUGGUUUUCUGAUCUGAGAUAAUGGUUAAGAGGGACGGACGGGGGCAUUCGUAUCGCUGCGUGAGAGGUGAAAUUCUUGGACCGUAGCGAGACGUCCGACUGCGAAAGCAUUUGCCAAGAAUGUCUUCAUUAAUCAAGAACGAUAGUGCGAGGUAGG
This 894-nucleotide ribosomal RNA is filed under the name Ascaridoidea gen. sp. SKM-2014. RNAcentral describes it as "SSU rRNA". It matches the Rfam family "Eukaryotic small subunit ribosomal RNA", at positions 99 to 1000 of the family's 1831-position model. The record is from RNAcentral. Lineage: Eukaryota; Metazoa; Nematoda; Chromadorea; Rhabditida.